Nomascus leucogenys (northern white-cheeked gibbon) is the source of this 102-nucleotide unclassified non-coding RNA. It matches the Rfam family "Y RNA". Rfam says of the family: Y RNAs are components of the Ro ribonucleoprotein particle (Ro RNP), in association with Ro60 and La proteins. The Y RNAs and Ro60 and La proteins are well conserved, but the function of the Ro RNP is not known. Lineage: Eukaryota; Metazoa; Chordata; Mammalia; Primates; Hylobatidae. The record is from Ensembl.
AGCUUGUCUGAGUGCAGUGGUGUUUACAGCUGGUUGAUCACAACCGGUUACAGAUUUAUUUGUUCUUUCUCUACUCUCACUACUUUACUUGACUAACCAAAA